ACGGAAGGCAGCAGUGAGGAAUAUUGGUCAAUGGGCGGAAGCCUGAACCAGCCAAGUCGCGUGAAGGAUGAAGGUAUUAUGUAUUGUAAACUUCUUUAGCAGCAGAGUAAUAAGGAGGUCGUGACCUCCGAUGCAAGUAUGCUGAAAAUAAGGAUCGGCUAACUCCGUGCCAGCAGCCGCGGUAAUACGGAGGAUCCGAGCGUUAUCCGGAUUUAUUGGGUUUAAAGGGUGCGCAGGCGGCCCUGUAAGUCAGCGGUUAGAUCGUGAGGCUCAACCUCAUCCCGCCGUUGAUACUGCAGGGCUUGAUUGCGGUCGAGGUUGGCGGAAUUCGUCGUGUAGCGGUGAAAUGCAUAGAUAUGACGAAGAACACCGAUUGCGUAGGCAGCUGACCAGACCGUAAAUGACGCUCAUGCACGAAAGUGCGGGGAUCGAACAGGAUUAGAUACCCUGGUA
Molecule: ribosomal RNA, 453 nt
Filed under: uncultured Porphyromonadaceae bacterium
Lineage: Bacteria; Pseudomonadati; Bacteroidota; Bacteroidia; Bacteroidales; Porphyromonadaceae
Description: partial 16S ribosomal RNA
Rfam family: Bacterial small subunit ribosomal RNA
Source: RNAcentral